UCCUUGGUAGUUUAGUCGGUGGAGCGUUUGGCUUUCAAAAAAUCGUAAGAAGUCGGCCAAAAAGUCCAGGGUUCGAGCCCUUGAUAAAGAU
RNAcentral lists this transfer RNA (91 nucleotides) under Pichia membranifaciens. It matches the Rfam family "tRNA". From Rfam's summary of the family: Transfer RNA (tRNA) molecules are approximately 80 nucleotides in length. The record is from Rfam by way of RNAcentral. Lineage: Eukaryota; Fungi; Ascomycota; Pichiomycetes; Pichiales; Pichiaceae.